This 349-nucleotide unclassified non-coding RNA is filed under the name soil metagenome. RNAcentral describes it as "partial contains 5.8S ribosomal RNA, internal transcribed spacer 2, and large subunit ribosomal RNA". The stretch from base 1 to 120 matches the Rfam family "5.8S ribosomal RNA", at positions 35 to 154 of the family's 154-position model. The record is from RNAcentral.
GAUGAAGAACGUAGCGAAAUGCGAUAAGUAAUGUGGAUUGCAGAAUUCAGUGAAUCAUCGAAUCUUUGAACGCACAUUGCGCCCCCUGGUAUUCCGGGGGGCAUGCCUGUUCGAGCGUCAUUUCAACCCUCAAGCUCUGCUUGGUAUUGGGCGUCGCCGGGGAGUCUCCCCGGCGUGCCUCAAAGCCAUCGGCGGUGGUGCCUUUCUCUAAGCGUGGUAGAAUUUUUAUUCGCUUCUGAGUUGGGCUUCGCCUGCCGGACAAACCGGGCCCUCGCGGCCCACCUUCUCAGGUUGACCUCGGAUCAGGUAGGGAUACCCGCUGAACUUAAGCAUAUCAAUAAGCGGAGGA